CCCCCAGACACCCAGUACUACCUCAAACGCUGAUCUCAUUACAUUAGCUGUUAUUGCCUUCACUUUUGCAGCCUGCUCUGGAAGAAGCGGAUCAUUUCCUGAGGUGUAAACACAGCUUCUGAUAAUGCCAACCUUACAAGGUCAGUCUGCUCUCAGAAGUCCACGGGUCAGCCACAGAGCUCAGAUACACAUUUCCUCAUCAAGAUUUCUUGGAGCAAGAUGAAGAUACGAACUGACGUUUCUGAUGGAAACCAUGGAAUAAAAACCAGGCUGUUUGAGAUGAUAUCUUCAGACACCUUGUCAAACUGAAGUCACAGCAGAGUGGUAUCUGGCCCUCCCAAAAAUCUCAGCCAUCCUUUGAGAAGCACUUCUCCUUCCUGCCACCAGGGAAGAAGAACAUGUUUCCUUCCCCUUCCACUAUGAUCAUAAGUUUUCUGAGGCCUCCCCAGUGAUGCUGAACUUGAAAAUCUCUACCCUUGGGAGCAGUACCUUUGUGUUAACAUCUCCUUAAGUGUGUAAAGAAAAACACAAGAAGAACCCGUGAUUUCAAGGAAGCAGCUACACAGAGUAGAUGAGUGUAGGAUUUGACAAGGUCAGAUCCCAUUUUGAGGUGUCUUUCUGCCAUAAACCACCUGAUGAUCUUGGGAACGCUACAUGCCAUCCCUAAAAUGGACUUUCACUCUUGUUGCCCAAGCUGGAGUACAAUGGCAUGAUCUCAGCUUAUUGCAGCCUCUGCCUGCUGGAUUCAAGCAAUUCUCCUGCCUCAGCCUUCCUAGUAGCUAGGAUUACAGUCAUGUGUCACCACACCCAGCUAAUUUUGUGUUUUUAGUAGAGACAGGGUUUCUCUAUGUUGGUCAGGCUGGUCUUGAACUCCCAACCUCAGGUGAUCCUCCUGCCUUGGCCUCUCAAAAUGCUGGGAUUAUAGGCGUGAGCCACUGUGCCUGGCCUGGAUCCUGAUAUUUAAACACUAUCCAAUACUCACAUAUUUGCUGCAUAAGGAACAAAACUGUUUCCCACGUGAUGGCCUUCCUAGGAAGGUCAGUGGAGAUCACCUUCCUCAGGACCCCAAAGCCAUGGCUACCCAAGGCUGCUCCCCUCUGGGGUCCUCAUAUUUGAUAUUCCACUACUAGAUAUUUCAUUCCUUUGGAUUUUUCUCUCCUUGAUUCUCAUUAAAAUUAAAAUGAAAAGUCUUCUGGGAGGAGUAACACAUUCAACCAAGAAGCAUAAACUUUAUCGAAUAUCCCUUUUCUUCUAUCAGGACUUGCAAGGCACUGGGUCUCCUAGGUGACAGCGAUGUAGGACAUUUUCUCCACCCCUUCAUCAGACCUGUGACAGGGGCACCAGCUUACUCAGCCCACUGCACUCAACCUCUUGUGGGAGGAAGCACCCGAGUGAGCAAGUUCAGAAUCUGCCCAGCUGCUUUGGGCUUUAGCAGGAGCAGGUUCCAUGCAGGCCCCAUGGCAGUGCCCAGAUGGGGUGCCUGCAACCCCCAAAGCCCCAGAGGGCAUGUUACAAUGCUCUAUUAGCACUGCCAUCCAUGGACAGCAGUGUGUUUUCAGUUCAAAGGAGCUCUUGCCUUGUCCUGUGGGAUGGCUGUCCUCCACCGGCAAGAACAACGGGCCAGUGUGACAGCCUUUUCUGGGUACCCACACUUGGUGAGUCCCAAGCUCUGUUCAGCAUCCAAAAAGAAUGAGGUUGCCCAGACACGUAAAGGAUGGUGAAGGCAGAGAGCUUUAUUAAGUGAUGGAAAUGGCUCUCAGCAGAGAGGGGAACUGGACAGGAGACAGAAUAGGCAGGUAAUCUUCCCUGAAGUCUGAACAUCACUGACUGGCUCUUCUUCAAUAUUAAGCCUAAUCUCUCCUCCUAAGGCUAGCCAUCCCUCUGACAUCAAGUUCUCGCUCUCCAGUUAAGCUGUUUCUCUCUCUACUGAGUCUGUAGUUUUUAUAGGCAAAGGAUGGGGAACAGGGCGAGCCACAGGUAGUUUUAGAAAAGGCAACAUUCAAUUGGUAAAAAGACAUUAUUCGGAAAGAACUGAUCAGGAGAGAGUAGACACACAGGGACAAAAGUCCACACUUUGGGCUAUGGGUUUCAUGCUUUUCAGCUGGAAGGUAGGACUUCACCAGGGACCUUCCCUGUCUGCCUAGAGUUUCUCUGCCUCUUGUCUAUAUCAACAGAGCCCGUUGGGAGUGAUGUGUGGUCAGAAAGGAUAAACAAUUGAGCUGAAGAUGAAUCUCCUAGGCUACUGCUCAAUACCAUGCUCAGCACAGUUCUAACACCAGUACCUGCUCAAAUAGGGAAUGAGAAGUAACUUUUCCAUGCCGGAGCCCCCAAAGAACAAGCAUUGUGUGUCCCACUUCAGUACCGAGACUCCUGCUGGAAUGCGUGGGACAAGCUGACAGUGAAUAUCCUGGUCUCAUCUUAUUUCUGGCACCUCUCCUGGAGUUCCCUCCUGGAGAACCUCAGCAGCAUUAAGAAGCUGGAGUUUCUUAAGCACCUGCCAGUGAAUGGCAGACUCCAGAAUUUCCUAAGAAUUGUUCAUCUGAGAACAUGGGGAUUAAAUGUGGAGAUUCUUGGAAUGCAUGAGGCUUUAGAAUGUGCAGUCUGGGGUCCACCUCUUAUAGAGAUCAAAGGGUAGAAAGAGACCAAGAAAGAGCUACUACUACUACUUGUGGAGUGUGUUCUGUGCCAGGAUUAAUCAUGCUACUUUAUCCUCACAGCCUCUUCACUUGGCAGAGUUAACCAUCCUCUGUUCCAAAAAACCAAAAUUCAGAAAGACUAAUUUAUUCAUAGAUACCCAUAGUAUAACCCAGGGUUGCUGGGUUUUGGGGUAUGCAUUAUUGUGAAAAGGUAUCAUUUGUAACUGUUGUACCUUGAGUUCUUGUUUCGAAAAAGUUCUAGGAAGAAGCUCAGCCCUGGAAAAAACAAAAACUGAUGGGAGCCAGAGAGGCUUGAGUCUGAGACGAAGUUUGGCGAACUCCGCUCAGUACCAUACUAACCUCCAAGCUUAGGAAGAAGCUUGUUUACCAUUUUCUGUUCAUGUGACGUAUGCAGAGGCAGGAUUGGCAGCUGCGCCUGUGCUGCCUAUACUCCACCUCUCCAUACAAUGACUCAGUUUACCAGCCAAAUUAAAAAACCGUGUUGACCUUUGUUAGGGGAGGCACUGCUUUAGGACCUAUCCUUGGUAUCCUCCUUACUUAUGGCAAGUAAUAAAACCCCCUUGUUAAAUCCUCCUUGGUUAUCACUGGACUGUUACUUGCCAAGCAAUUGAACCAACCUGUUGCCUGGGUAACACUAGUAAGUGAGAACGGGUAUGACUCUAAUCUCCCAGACUGUCUUCCUUUCCCUGCACUGUGCUACAGGCAGAUUGCACGGUAAGGCCUGGGGUAUAACACACACACGAUUCUAGCACAAACAAACAGAAAUAGGGGCCUCAGAAUUUAAUUUCUUGAUUAUAAUUCUGGUUUUUAAAUGCAUUUUAAAUUCAAUCCUUUUCUUUUCUUUUUCUUUUUUUUUUUUUUGAGACAGGGUCUCAGCUGUUGCCCAGGCUAGAGUGCAGUGGCAUGAUCUAUCAUGGCUCACUGGAGCAUCCAUGUCCUAAGCACAAGGCAUCCUCCUACCUUGGCCUCUCAACUAGUUCAGACCACAACCAUGAGCCACCAUGCCUGGCUAUUUUUGUUGUUGUAGUUAUUCUUUAUAGAACUGGGGGUCUCACUAUGUUGUCCAGGCUGGUCUCGAACUCCUGGUCUCAAGCAAUCCUUCUGCCACAGCCUUCCAAAGUAUUGAGAUUACAGGUGUGAACGAAUGCACUCAAGUUACAUCUUUAACAGUGAUAGGAAAAGCUUCAUGUACCUGAUGUACCCUCUGGCCAGGCACUUCUCAACUGCUGCUGCCACAGAAGGAGAACAUUGGCAUAAAUAAUUCACAAGAGCAUUUCUUGUUACAUUUUCUCAUACUUUAAUUAGGACUCUGCCUCUUGUCUCUAUCAACAUAUAGUAUCAUAGAGAGGCAUGAAAUGGUCUGUCACAUGUAGGCCUGGAGAGCUGAUGACUCACUCUCUACACAUGUGUUGGAUUCAACAUGAUCAAUCAUUCUGUUGAUGUAUUUUCACUGAAAAGAAUUCCACAGAGAAUAGCAAGGAGCUGACUGAAAUUACUUCAUUUAGGCCACUCCUGGAUGGCCCCAUUACAAUUGCUUUCCUUUCAUUUUGAAGAAGCACUAAACUUUCUUUCUUUUUUUUUUUUUUUGUGAGACGGAGUUUUGUUCAUGUUACCCAGGCUGGAGUGCAAUGGCAUGAUCUCCGCUCACCGCAACCCUCCUGGGUUCAGGCAAUUCUCCUGCCUCAG
This is a non-coding RNA of Callithrix jacchus (white-tufted-ear marmoset), 4343 nucleotides long. Lineage: Eukaryota; Metazoa; Chordata; Mammalia; Primates; Cebidae. The record is from RefSeq and is a predicted model, not a curated record.